UACGUAGGGUGCAAGCGUUGUCCGGAAUCAUUGGGCGUAAAGAGCGUGUAGGCGGCCUUUUAAGUCCUGCGUGAAAUCCUGCGGCUCAACCGCAGACGGUCGUGGGAAACUGGAAGGCUGGAGGUCGGUAGAGGCGAGUGGAAUUCCCGGUGUAGUGGUGAAAUGCGUAGAGAUCGGGAGGAACACCAGUGGCGAAGGCGGCUCGCUGGGCCGGACCUGACGCUGAGACGCGAAGGCGUGGGGAGCGAACGGG
Molecule: ribosomal RNA, 253 nt
Filed under: uncultured bacterium
Lineage: Bacteria
Description: partial 16S ribosomal RNA
Rfam family: Bacterial small subunit ribosomal RNA
Source: RNAcentral